Molecule: transfer RNA, 87 nt
Filed under: Cyanobacteria bacterium M_DeepCast_200m_mx_001
Lineage: Bacteria; Bacillati; Cyanobacteriota
Description: tRNA-Leu
Rfam family: tRNA
About the family: Transfer RNA (tRNA) molecules are approximately 80 nucleotides in length. Their secondary structure includes four short double-helical elements and three loops (D, anti-codon, and T loops).
Source: RNAcentral
GGGAGCAUGGCGGAAUUGGUAGACGCAGCGGACUUAAAAUCCGCAGACGGCAACGUUGUGGGGGUUCAAGUCCCCCUGCUCCCAUCA